Molecule: ribosomal RNA, 467 nt
Filed under: uncultured bacterium
Lineage: Bacteria
Description: partial 16S ribosomal RNA
Rfam family: Bacterial small subunit ribosomal RNA
Source: RNAcentral
GACGAACGCCGGCGGCGUGCUUAACACAUGCAAGUCGAACGGAAAGGCCUCUUUCGGGGGGUACUCGAGUGGCGAACGGGUGAGUAACACGUGAGUAACCUGCCCUUGACUUUGGGAUAACUUCAGGAAACUGGGGCUAAUACCGGAUAGGAGCUCCUGCUGCAUGGUGGGGGUUGGAAAGUUUCGGCGGUUGGGGAUGGACUCGCGGCUUAUCAGCUUGUUGGUGGGGUAGUGGCUUACCAAGGCUUUGACGGGUAGCCGGCCUGAGAGGGUGACCGGCCACAUUGGGACUGAGAGACGGCCCCGACUCCGAAGGGAGGCAGCAGGGGGGAAGAUUGCACAAUGGGUGGAGGGCGGAUGCAGCAACGCCGGGUGCGGGAAGACGGCCUUCGGGUUGGAGAAAGCAUUCGCUCAUGACGAAGCUUUGUGUGACGGUAGUGGAUAAAGAAGCACCGGCUAACUACGUG